RNAcentral lists this long non-coding RNA (1120 nucleotides) under Aquilegia coerulea. Its description in RNAcentral is "long non-coding RNA (ACOE_LNC001543)". Lineage: Eukaryota; Viridiplantae; Streptophyta; Magnoliopsida; Ranunculales; Ranunculaceae. The record is from RNAcentral.
UGUACGAAACGCAACAAACGCCAAUUUAAGAAAUCCAACCCCGUUUGAUGAAAUCGAAUCGAACUUAUUUCUACAACAAAUUAGAACACAUAUUAGAAGCUAAAUCUAGGAAAUCCAAUCCAGAAAUCGAAUCGAACUUAUUUCUACAAAAAUUGGAACACAUAUUAAAAGCUAAAUUUAAGAAAUCCAAUCCAACUCCGUUUAAUGAAAUCGAAUCGAACUUAUUUCAUUCAGUAAAAAAUAUUACUUCAAUCCAACGGUUUUAAUCAAACUCACGCCGUUUAAUCCAACGUGCACAAUCUCAUCUCAAUCCAAACGUAAGACUACCGACACCACCAUUGUCAAUCAAUCCUCUUAUUAACCUUAACAGUUUAACACUCUCUUUUCUCUUUCUCUCUUGUUUUCUGAAACCAAGCCGUCUUUCUUCACUACCCUUUUUCGAUUUUUCAACAAAUUUCGACUUAAAAGAAUAAAGUUUUAAUUUUUAUUUAAUUAUAAUUAAGAAAAAGAAGAAGAAGAUGCAAUCAACGAAUGGAGGAGUGGAUCCAAAGCAGAUGCAACUAGAACAACAACAACAAUAACAACAACAACAACAACAACAACAACAACAACAACAACAACAACAACAAUAACAACAACAACAACAACAAUGGAUGGUAAUGCAAUAUCCAGCAGCAACAAUGGUGAUGCAACAUCAAAUGAUGCCACCUCAACAUUACCCACAAGAUUAAAGCUAAAUCUAAGCAAAACCAACAAAUCAACAACUUCAACUUCAACAACAACAACAAAACCAACAACAAAUUAGAACACAAAUUAAAGCUAAAUCUAAGAAAUCCAACUCCAUUUGAGAAAAUCCCUACCUUUAUAGAAACACGAACAAUAAAUUACAAGAUACAACAAUAAAAGAACAAAUAGAAGGAAGAUGUUUGUUUACCUUUAACUACUCGAUUUAUCUAUGCAACUUUUCCAAUUUGUAUAUAACCCUUGAUUUUGAUAUUAAAUUAAUGAGAGAGAGAGAGAAAGAGCGCAAUUGAGAAGAUAGUGUGGGGGAAGGAUUUAUAGAUCGAGUUGAGAGAGUUAUCGAAGGAGGAGAGUUCUUUUCAUGGUGGAAGAGGAAGAA